CUACGUAGGGGGCGAGCGUUGUCCGGAAUGAUUGGGCGUAAAGGGCGCGUAGGCGGCGCGGUAAGUCUGGAGUGAAAGUCCUGCUUUCAAGGUGGGAAUUGCUUUGGAUACUGCCGCGCUUGAGUGCAGGAGAGGUUAUCGGAAUUCCCGGUGUAGCGGUGAAAUGCGUAGAGAUCGGGAGGAACACCAGUGGCGAAGGCGGGUAACUGGACUGCAACUGACGCUGAGGCGCGAAAGUGUGGGGAGCAAACAGGAUUAGAUACCCUGGUAGUCCACACUGUAAACGAUGAAUGCUAGGUGUAAGAGGUAUCGACCCCUUUUGUGCCGGAGUCAACACAAUAAGCAUUCCGCCUGGGGAGUACGGCCGCAAGGUUGAAACUCAAAUGAAUUGACGGGG
Molecule: ribosomal RNA, 397 nt
Filed under: uncultured bacterium
Lineage: Bacteria
Description: partial 16S ribosomal RNA
Rfam family: Bacterial small subunit ribosomal RNA
Source: RNAcentral